RNAcentral lists this long non-coding RNA (4695 nucleotides) under Venturia canescens. RNAcentral's name for it is "uncharacterized LOC122409523". Lineage: Eukaryota; Metazoa; Arthropoda; Insecta; Hymenoptera; Ichneumonidae. The record is from RNAcentral.
CGCCACAGGUCAACAAAGGACGCGCGUCGUUGUCGUUCGCGGGUGUAAAAAUGUUGUGCCGAGUUUCCAGGACGUUUCGGGACUGUUAACGGUGGAUUUGGGUCGUACUUCUAGGGGGAGGAGAUCGAUUUGGAAGCCGAAAAAUCUUCGAACGCUCCGUCAUCGAUCAAAGUGGCCGAUAAAAUUACCGGAGCAAGGAGCCAGUGCUUUCCGACAAUUUUCUUCGAUUUCUCUCGAUUCAGCUGACAGUCGACAUCAACUCAUUUGAGAUUUCAGGUCCAACGUCAGAGUCUGUCACCUGCCGUAUCACAAAUCCUGAUCAGACGAGGUUGCGACCAAUCGUAGACGUCUGGGAGAGAAGAAAAAAUGAGAAUUUCAACGAAGAGGGAAGUAACGAACGAAAAAAAAUCAUUGGAGUAGCGCGAGCUUCAAUGCAGCAACGUAAACCAAGGCGAAGUGAAAUAGAAAAAAUGGAUAACAGCAGUAAUCACGCCGAGCUGCAAAGAGAUCAAGGGUGAUGAAAGAGCAGAGGCAAGAGGAAAAGAGCAGGAAGGGGCGGGGGCGAGGUGAAGAAAGAGCUUGAUAAAAAGAGAGUAUUUGUGUACACCAGAAUAAGAGUAAUUCGUGAGGGUGUGUGUGUUGAUGCGUAACCGAGGGUUGGCUUGAAACGGCUUGAAAGUUGAAACAUGAUAUAUCCAGAGAGGAAAAGCAGGGGGGUGCUCUGUGCCAUUCCGGUGCAAGGGAGAAGCGAGUCUCUCUCUCCGCGACGUUUUUCAAGCCCGGCGGAGCAUCUGGCUUCGAGAUAAAGACACGUGCUUUCGAGAGCAAGAGAGGAAGGUGCCUCGUUCAAGAGAGUGAGGGAUAUUUAGGUGAAAAAAAAAAAAGAGAGAAAAGGAGAAAGAGAGGAGGUGGCACUGUAGUAAUUUCGCGCUCGGCGGAGACCAUAGCGGCAAAGACAUCCCGGUCGGUUGCACAUCCGGACGACUAUUAUAUAGCGCCGAGGUGGAUGAAGAAGAGGAAACGUAUACAUCUAUACGAGAGACUGGCGUAGAAAGAGGCAAGUGUAAGAAGAAGACGAGAAUAUUACACGGAGAGUGGUGAGGGCAAAGGACGACGACGACAAGGCCGACGAGGACGAGCAGGACGAGAAGGAGUACGAGGAUGAUGGUGCUGUGCGAAAGUACUCCAAGUACACCAGGGUACGACGAACCCCUAGCAAAAAGCACGGAAUCCUGUGAUCGUUUAAUUCCAUCCUCGCGCCGGUGUAGCUUCCGGGUAACUUCUCGCCUGAGAUUUAUUAAUCGUCCUCUCUCGGGCUCAUCCCCUGGUCAUGUAUAUACAUACGUAUACGUGACAUACGCACGCACACACACCCGUAUUCUCCUCGACCUUCCACGAGCGAACGAAGACUAUAUACCAUGACCACGUACCCGUUUUCACGAUAUAACCGAACAGAGGAGCGACGCAGAGAGAGAGAGAGAGAGAGAAAGACAGAUAGGAAGAGAGACAAUUUCAGCAACUCCGGAUACUGGUAUCAUAGCAGAUACGAGGCUUGCUUCCAGAUAACUAUAACUACAGGGAAAGAGCGUAUCCACAGUGAUAUUGUUGCUUGAGAGCAAUAGAGAAAGCUCCUCUUCUAGAACUAUACGAGUUGUAUGUAUAGUGCAUAUAGUUUGGUCUCAAAUAUACAUGGAAUGUUGGUUUCCAACUAUCUUCCUUUCUCACUUCAUCCCAAGUAGCAAUGGUCCACCUGCAUAUAUAAUCCCCCUACCUGUGCAAUAAUCCCUUUCGCCUUAAUACGAUUUCACGUAACCACACACUCAGGCAGAUUCACAUUUGGCUCUCUUUCUCUCCCUCUCGCUUCCUCUCCCUUUCUCUACCUCUCUUUCCCUCUUUUGACCUCUUGUUCUGUCUUCGAGGCUUGAAUAUCAAUGUGUCUCCGACCGUUUGUAUAACGAGAUUGCACCCACUUUUUUCCUCCUCUCCCUUCCUCCCCUACAUCCACGAGAUUGUUGUUUGAAAUAACGAUAUAUCUACUUUGUAUAUGAAAUACCAAGCUGUAUGAAGUACACAAAGUCAUUAAUUGUUUUGGAGGAUAUUGAAAUUUAGUCAAAUGUUGGAUAUCGGUGAGCGUUAUACGUACGAGCUUUCCCCACCAAACUCCGUCUCAAACUGUCAUCUAACUAUUUACUAACUUACACUCCCGGGUCUCGCCAAAUCCUCUUACACGUGACUUUCUGUGCCCACCAAACGUUUUUUAUACGACAAAAUUCUCCUUAUUCCGGUCCGGUCCAAUUUGAAGAGCUUGAAAAGGCUAUUGAUACGGGAAACAAAACGUUUGGUUUAUGCAAUCGUCGUAACGAACUCCUUUUAUCGUCAGGUUCUUUGAGAAUCCAAAACAGCUUUAUGCCACUCGUACUCCAGAUUUGAACCAUUUAAUUUCAACUUUGAAGUACUAAAAAGAAAAGAAAAAAAAAACUUUGCCUCAAUCUUCUCAUUGUUACUUGCAGGGUUCAUGGUUCAAUAUGAAAUGAAUUCGCUCAAAUUUCAUACUUUGAUUUAUCCAAGUUUUUAUUAAUUAACUUUUUAGGGAGCUUAAAAACAACUGACAAAGAAACACGAAGAAUUUUUGUUUCGCUUAAGAGGCUCAAAAAAUCGGGACGUUUCUUUGCUGGAACGAGAAAACAAAAUUAAACUUUCGAUUGAAUGGAGCAUUCAAUGAGAUAACAGUGAUAUCCAUCAAUUAUUCUUGUCAGCAUAAUGCGAUUGAUUUGACUAUCUAAGCUCGGGGUGAUUAUAUAAUGGAGCUUUAACCAGCACCCGCGUACAAUGAAAACUUUCCUUUUGUUUCCAAAAGUUUAACAUCGAGAAUUUGCCUCUGAAAAGCUUGCCACAUACAAAGGCAAACUUUUUGAUGCUCUGUUGAGAUAAUAUUGACUAUUUCUUAUCAAGAAUGCUCUUUCCAAGAUUAAGUAUAAUGUUAAGUGGAAAUUUUUCAAGUACUUCGUAACAGUAUUGAAAUAAUCUUCGUUUAUGUUCAAGUGAUACUCGAUGAAACGAGGAAUUGGUUAAAUUCUUCAAGCAUGACUUGCGAAAACUGCUCGCUGCAUUGAUUGCAAGAACGAAUAAUAUUGUUUAUCGAGAUAUUUUUAGUCUAUGCUUGUAAUGCUUUUUUUUUUUUAAUAUUUAUAUUAGCAACAACGCGAACGCCACGCGCCUGCUUUAGCGGUGAAAAACUAACUAAUGAUGGUGCCUGGCAACGAUCCAUAGCAAUGAAUAAACAAAACCAUGGCAAUGAAUAGAGGCUUCACAUUUAGAUAUAUCGAAAUGUUUUUUUUGGUCUGCGAUAUAGGGACCGUGCGCAGCAUCUACAGUGUCACUACGCGGCCAAUUUCAAAACUUCCUAGGUGCAAAUUAAAGCAGGCGCAUAUGGGAAUUAUUACUUUUCGCAUUAUUUAACAGAAUAAAAUUAUUAUUUUUUAUCAUGCCUCGAUCGAGAAAAUAUCGUUGCAUUCGAGAAUGCUCUAUAAUGCACAAUUUCGACGUCGAGACGUUGAAGUAUCAGAAAAAUUUUAUUAUUUCCCAGAGGGCACAGUCCAUUCUACAUGGAAAAGUGAGAAACGGACCAAAUGGAUCAAAAGAUUAAACACCGUCAAUUCAUCCACUAAACUUUCUGUUUCGACGACAUUUAAAACGUCAUUCGAUUCAAACAGUUUUUUUCCUUUUACGUCAUUUUGAUUUUGAAUGCGAUCAUUGUUGAUCGGACAAAAACCGUAUUUGAUUACUUUAAUCAUUAUUUUUAUCCGAAAAAUUAAUUAUUUUCAAUGAUUUACAGUCAAAAUAGCGUCAGAAAAAUUGCCCAUUCAGACACGAGAGAGCGCGCUCAUCGACGGUAGUACUGCUCUCUAUAGCUCACGCACAGUCCUCAUUUAAAUUUAUAAAAAAUGGAAUAUAACACAUGAAAACAGAAUGGGAAUGAAAAAUUGAGGAAAAGGGAUUUGCACAAGUGUUCCUUGAGCUUUAUAAAUUUUCGAACUCGUUCGAUGCAGUUGAGAGGUUUCAAUACACGUCGAUGGUUCAUCUCAAUAGCGGUCAGUCGAAGCUUAUACCGAUCCUGUGUACAGAAUCGUAGAGACUAUCCUCCGACGGGGCUGCUCAACGAUGUUUUGCGAAUUCCCGAUUUCCGGAUGCACACUGAGCACGGGGACAAAGUUGCGGUACCACAUGGACCCAAAGGUGUUUAACGUGGUUUACCAAGACGCGGAUCUCGCAGUAAUCCCGAGGAGGAUCCACCAAAUCCAGCGGUUUUCCGUUUCGAUGAGAAUUUCCACAUUAUCGGGACAUUUCGCUUACUUUGCAAAGAUGCAUGUUGUCCUUGCUUCCUCUUUCUCCCUUCCUCCCUCCCUCCCGCUCUCUCGCUCCUUCGAACUCGGCCUUUACGGAAAGGGGAUCGCAAGCAUAUUGAGCUUUGAGCUGUCCUAUUUUGCGAGGAAUCCCAGCAUUCGGAGAAUUCGAUUGAGAAGUUUCGAUCUUCUGAAUACCGUCCUAAGCACGAAGUGGAUAUUUCAUUAACAAUAUUUACUUCAGUAGAAACUAAUAACAAACUAGUUAUCAGUUAAACCAGAUUUAAUCCUCUCUCGAUGAGAGUAGAAAGAACAUUGUUCGACAUAAAUUAAUAAAACUCAUUAAAAAAUA